Molecule: long non-coding RNA, 498 nt
Filed under: Setaria viridis
Lineage: Eukaryota; Viridiplantae; Streptophyta; Magnoliopsida; Poales; Poaceae
Description: long non-coding RNA (SVIR_LNC009224)
Source: RNAcentral
GAAAAGAAAGGAGAGAGAGGAAGGAGGGAGAAAGAGAAGGAAGAAGGAGAAGGGAAAAGGAAGGAAGAAAGAGAGGGGAAAAGGAGGGAAAAGGAAAAGAGGGAGAUGGCGGGAAUUGCGGGAUUUGACGGCAUGCGUGAUGGACUUGAUGGGCACGCGGCGAAAAAUACGGGGAAUGAAAAAAGAGGCUUGACGACGUCGGGGGUGGGAACGGCGGAUCUGACGGGAAAGAGGGGAUUUUUCGGGAGCUCAACGGUCGGAAAAUUUUGGAAUGCAUUUUUAACGAGUGAGUUAAAUUUGUAGUUUUUACGGGCGUUACAAACCUAUCCCACUUAAAUUGAAUCUUGUCCUCGAGAUUCGGCUGAAUUCUGAAAAGAUGGGGAAACUCCUUUAACGCAUCCUCGCGUUCCCAAGUAGCUUCUUCUUCACCAUGCCUACUCCAUUGGACUCUGCAAAUCCGCACUACUGAAUUCCUUUUCCUCUUGGUGACGGUGUCCA